ACGGGGAAACUCACCAGGUCCAGACACAAUAAGGGUUGACAGAUUGAUAGCUCUUUCUUGAUUUUGUGGGUGGUGGUGCAUGGCCGUUCUUAGUUGGUGGAGUGAUUUGUCUGCUUAAUUGCGAUAACGAACGAGACCUUGACCUACUAAAUAGCUCUACUUGCGAUUGCAGGUAGCUAGCUUCUUAGAGGGACUAUCUAUUACAAGUAGGUGGAAGUUCGAG
This 223-nucleotide ribosomal RNA is filed under the name uncultured marine eukaryote. Its description in RNAcentral is "partial 18S ribosomal RNA". It matches the Rfam family "Eukaryotic small subunit ribosomal RNA", at positions 1205 to 1449 of the family's 1831-position model. The record is from RNAcentral.